Molecule: ribosomal RNA, 156 nt
Filed under: Tridacna crocea
Lineage: Eukaryota; Metazoa; Mollusca; Bivalvia; Cardiida; Cardiidae
Description: partial 28S ribosomal RNA
Source: RNAcentral
AUACUGGAUACGGACGUCCGCCUGGGUGCUUCUCGGUAACACGAAAGGAAAAAGCCGCCGGGUGGCGAGUUGUUGACCUAGCCCUCGGAGCGUGCUUUGUUGGAAACAACAACAACGCAAUCCGACCUCAGAUCAGGCGGGAUUACCCGCUGAAUU